This 76-nucleotide transfer RNA is filed under the name Pseudomonas aeruginosa PA99. RNAcentral's name for it is "tRNA-Ile". It matches the Rfam family "tRNA". From Rfam's summary of the family: Transfer RNA (tRNA) molecules are approximately 80 nucleotides in length. Their secondary structure includes four short double-helical elements and three loops (D, anti-codon, and T loops). Further hydrogen bonds mediate the characteristic L-shaped molecular structure. tRNAs have two regions of fundamental functional importance: the anti-codon, which is responsible for specific mRNA codon recognition, and the 3' end, to which the tRNAs corresponding amino acid is attached (by aminoacyl-tRNA synthetases). tRNAs cope with the degeneracy of the genetic code in two manners: having more than one tRNA (with a specific anti-codon) for a particular amino acid; and 'wobble' base-pairing, i.e. permitting non-standard base-pairing at the 3rd anti-codon position. The record is from RNAcentral. Lineage: Bacteria; Pseudomonadati; Pseudomonadota; Gammaproteobacteria; Pseudomonadales; Pseudomonadaceae.
GGGCCUAUAGCUCAGUCGGUUAGAGCAGAGGACUCAUAAUCCUUUGGUCCACGGUUCGAGUCCGUGUGGCCCACCA